This 1167-nucleotide long non-coding RNA is filed under the name Triticum aestivum (bread wheat). Its description in RNAcentral is "long non-coding RNA (TAES_LNC006551)". The record is from RNAcentral. Lineage: Eukaryota; Viridiplantae; Streptophyta; Magnoliopsida; Poales; Poaceae.
AAGAAACAACAAAAAAAAUUCAUAUUCUGAUACAUAAGAGUUAUAUAGGAAUCGAAAUAGUCUUUUAUUUUCUUUUUGAAAAAAUGUAUUUCAUUGAAGUAAUAAAACUAUUCCAAUUCGAAUAAUAGUUGAGAAAGAAUCGCAAUAAAUGCAAAGAUGGAACAUCUUGGAUACGGUAUUGAAGGAGUUGAACCAGGAUUUCCAAAUGGAUAGGAUAGGGUCAGUUACGAAGUAUAGCGUGAAACUGGGACGACGGGUGUGUAGGACUGAUAAAAUGAGCCCAAGCUACUAUGAGGCCCACAGACACGGAUGGGGCGCGAGGCCGGAAGUUUUUUUAUUUCUGAGGGUUUAUUAUUAUUAGGAGAAAUCCCGUUAUUAUCAAAAUAAAUCUCGCUCGGUGGCCACCAAGAUUAUUUGUGCUUGGGCUUCCAGAAAUGUCCUGCGCCACUCUAGCGCAACACGAAAGGUAAAGGAAAAAAAAUUGAAGGAAAAACGGCAGGAUUCGAACCGGCGCCUUUCCUUGAUAUCGAACAUAAUGCAUAAGAGGAUCCAUAAAGAACCAUAGGGUUUUCCGAGAAAAACCAGGGUACAUUAUCCCAAAAUGUUCCAUCUUCCUAGAAAAGUGGAUUCGUUCCAGAAAAGUUCCAGAAGAUGCUAAUGGUAAGCAAGAAGAUUGUUUACGAAGAAACAACAAUAAAAAUUCAUAUUCUGAUACAUAAGAGUUAUAUAGGAAUCGAAAUAGUCUUUUAUUUUCUUUUUGAAAAAAUGUAUUUCAUUGAAGUAAUAAAACCAUUCCAAUUCGAAUAAUAGUUGAGAAAGAAUCGCAAUAAAUGCAAAGAUGGAACAUCUUGGAUACGGUAUUGAAGGAGUUGAACCAGGAUUUCCAAAUGGAUAGGAUAGGGUCAGUUACGAAGUAUAGCGUGAAACUGGGCCGACGGGUGUGUAGGACUGAUAAAAUGAGCCCAAGCUACUAUGAGGCCCACAGACACAGAUGGGGCGCGAGGCUGGAAGUUUUUUUUUAUUUCUGAGGGUUUAUUAUUUUUAGGAGAAAUCCCGUUAUUAUCAAAAUAAAUCUCGCUCGGUGGCCACCAAGAUUAUUUGUGCUUGGGCUUCUAGAAAUGUCCUGCGCCACUCUAGCGCAACACGAAAGGUAAAGGAACAAAAAAA